UUUAGUGCAUUAUAUUUAGAACUACAUCAAACCAAAUAGCUGCUAAAUGUGUAUAUCGUUUGUGUUGAGAUAUAAAUAUUAAAAACACUAUUCUCUGAAACUUAAUUUUUUAGAAAACAACGGUUAUUUUAUAUAAUUUAACAUGAUAUCAAAGUAGGAGAUCCUAAAUUUGAAUUCUAUUAGACUUUUAGUCCUAUUUAAUUUUCUCCCGUUUAUAUUAUUUUGGGAGUUUAAGCUUUCAAAGAAUAAAGAUUGUUCCAUAUAAUUUAAUAAUUUACUUCUCCAUG
This 287-nucleotide long non-coding RNA is filed under the name Ananas comosus (pineapple). RNAcentral's name for it is "long non-coding RNA (ACOM_LNC029150)". Lineage: Eukaryota; Viridiplantae; Streptophyta; Magnoliopsida; Poales; Bromeliaceae. The record is from RNAcentral.